AGGGCACAGUCCUAUGACACUUGGGUCAGUCGUGUUACAGAAGCACUGUCUGCUAACUUCAACCACAAAAAAGAUUUGAUUGAAUUGCGAGUAAUGCUGGAAGAUGCUGAGGAUAGGAAAUACCCAGAGAAUGAUCUCUUUCGAAAACUCAGGGAUGCUGUAAAAGAAGCUGAGACCUGUGCUUCUGUGGCUCAGCUGCUUCUGAGCAAAAAGCAGAAACACAGGUAAACCUAAGAAGAGUUUAAUUCUCCAGUGUUUUCCUGUUUCUUUCAGAGUAAAAACCAAAAUUUUAUCUGGCCUGUGAAGCCGUACAUUAUCUUUGACCUCUUGUGGCCAUGUCUCUUGCUUCCCCAGUAAUGCUCCAGUUUUAUCUCCUAC
This 378-nucleotide small RNA is filed under the name Pan troglodytes (chimpanzee). RNAcentral describes it as "retained intron". The record is from RNAcentral. Lineage: Eukaryota; Metazoa; Chordata; Mammalia; Primates; Hominidae.